CCUACGGGAGGCUGCAGUGGGGAAUAUUGGACAAUGGGCGAAAGCCUGAUCCAGCCAUGCCGCGUGUGUGAAGAAGGCCUUCGGGUUGUAAAGCACUUUCAGUGGGGAAGAAAGCCUUGGGGCUAAUACCCUCGAGGAAGGACAUCACCCACAGAAGAAGCACCGGCUAACUCCGUGCCAGCAGCCGCGGUAAUACGGAGGGUGCGAGCGUUAAUCGGAAUUACUGGGCGUAAAGCGCGCGUAGGCGGUCUGGUAAGCCGGUUGUGAAAGCCCCGGGCUCAACCUGGGAACGGCAUCCGGAACUGUCAGGCUAGAGUGCAGGAGAGGAAGGUAGAAUUCCCGGUGUAGCGGUGAAAUGCGUAGAGAUCGGGAGGAAUACCAGUGGCGAAGGCGGCCUUCUGGACUGACACUGACGCUGAGGUGCGAAAGCGUGGGUAGCAAACAGGAUUAGAUACCCCUGUAGUC
RNAcentral lists this ribosomal RNA (465 nucleotides) under Vreelandella stevensii. Its description in RNAcentral is "partial 16S ribosomal RNA". It matches the Rfam family "Bacterial small subunit ribosomal RNA", at positions 338 to 795 of the family's 1533-position model. Lineage: Bacteria; Pseudomonadati; Pseudomonadota; Gammaproteobacteria; Oceanospirillales; Halomonadaceae. The record is from RNAcentral.